AACUUCGGUUAGCUCAGUUGGCAGAGCAUCAGAUUUAAGAUCUGACUGUCGCAGGUUCGAUUCCUGUACCAGUUG
RNAcentral lists this transfer RNA (75 nucleotides) under Planctomycetaceae bacterium. Its description in RNAcentral is "tRNA-Leu". The stretch from base 7 to 70 matches the Rfam family "tRNA", at positions 5 to 66 of the family's 71-position model. Rfam says of the family: Transfer RNA (tRNA) molecules are approximately 80 nucleotides in length. The record is from RNAcentral. Lineage: Bacteria; Pseudomonadati; Planctomycetota; Planctomycetia; Planctomycetales; Planctomycetaceae.